Molecule: microRNA precursor, 61 nt
Filed under: Ochotona princeps (American pika)
Lineage: Eukaryota; Metazoa; Chordata; Mammalia; Lagomorpha; Ochotonidae
Description: miRNA (ENSOPRG00000022541.1)
Source: RNAcentral
ACUGGGGGCGGUGGGGGGGGGGCUCAGGACACGCCCAGGGACAGCAGGUUUGCCCUGUAGU